UUUUGACGUUGUUCUUUAGCCAGAGCACCUGUGGACCGAAGCCCCCGGUUACCCCAGAGUAAGAGAAUCAUGGUUCAUAUUUUGUCGACGCCCCUAAGGUCCGUCACAAAACGUGGUGUUAACGGUGGGCAACUCGAAAGUCGCCAUUAAAUAAAAAGUUCGCGGGACGCAAAAUUCAAGCCUAAGUUUUACCCCAGGCUCUCCUUCUGAGACGCCACCAGCCGAAGCCAGUGGACUUGAGGUGUGGUAAUGAUCCUUCCGCAGGUUCACCUACGGAAA
This 279-nucleotide unclassified non-coding RNA is filed under the name uncultured fungus. RNAcentral describes it as "sequence contains ITS1". The record is from RNAcentral. Lineage: Eukaryota; Fungi.